GAUGAACGCUAGCGAUAGGCUUAACACAUGCCAGUCGAGGGGCAGCAUGGUCUUAGCUUGCUAAGACUGAUGGCGACCGGCGCACGGGUGCGUAACGCGUAUGCAACUUGCCUCACAGAGGGGGAUAACCCGUCGAAAGACGGACUAAUACCGCGUACACUCCAUCUUGGGCAUCCAAGGUAGAGGAAAUGAAAUUCGCUGUGAGAUAGGCAUGCGUCCCAUUAGCUAGUUGGUGAGGUAACGGCUCACCAAGGCGACGAUGGGUAGGGGAACUGAGAGGUUGAACCCCCACACUGGUACUGAGACACGGACCAGACUCCUACGGGAGGCAGCAGUGAGGAAUAGUGGUCAAUGGGCGAGAGCCUGAACCAGCCAAGUCGCGUGAAGGAUGACUGUCUUAUGGAUUGUAAACUUCUUUUAUACGGGAAUAACAAGAGUCACGUGUGACUCCCUGCAUGUACCGUAUGAAUAAGCAUCGGCUAACUCCGUG
This 490-nucleotide ribosomal RNA is filed under the name uncultured bacterium. RNAcentral's name for it is "partial 16S ribosomal RNA". It matches the Rfam family "Bacterial small subunit ribosomal RNA", at positions 28 to 507 of the family's 1533-position model. The record is from RNAcentral.